GAUUGUGACGCCUUAGACGUACAGGGGAGACUCUGUCCGCGGUAUAGGAAAAAUCUUGUCCGUUCGACGGUCUGUUGGCGUGCCCGAAUCGGACCAAAUAGGCGGGCUCAGGGCGUGACAACACUAGUAGGUGCUCCGUCAACGACUACACCUCCGUCAGCAAUAAUUUUGGAAAUACAGAUGUCGAGUGUGGAGACGUCAAGGGUAGGCGGAUAGUUGUCAGCAACAGAGAAUUAGGGGAAUGGAGCGAGGUUGGUAGACUUCCGU
Molecule: long non-coding RNA, 267 nt
Filed under: Ananas comosus (pineapple)
Lineage: Eukaryota; Viridiplantae; Streptophyta; Magnoliopsida; Poales; Bromeliaceae
Description: long non-coding RNA (ACOM_LNC019959)
Source: RNAcentral